UUCCUAAUACACUCCACAACCCUCUCCUAAUCCCUUCCCAUCAUCUAAGUAAGAUGUGAGCUCGUAAAACCCGAGAUUAGUUAGGAUAUCCUAGUAGCUCAUGUUGGCAGCAAGUUGUUGGCCUUGUAGCUUGAAAGUGGAGUGUUACAAUUGGAGUUUCUGGACUAAUAAGGUGCGGAGGAAAGGACAAGCUCAGGAUAGGAAAUCCCUUCAAGCAGCAAGUUAGAGAAUAAGGACGCUGCAUUUCAUGCUGCAGGUCCUGACAGACAGAGCAGAGGACCUCUUUAGUAGGACUAUUAGCUUCAACGGGUGUCAGCAAGUGCCACUACUCCGGACUUGCUAACUUUCGAUAUAUUUAUGUUAUUAUGAUAUAUGUUCAUAUGCACACUCUUAGAGGCUCAUAGACAUAGUGGGGUAUGUAGACAUUAUGUGGCUCAUAGACACAGUGGGGUAUGUAGACAUUAUGUCUGGCCCUGUCAGUCAUGUUUUGAUUUUGGUA
Long non-coding RNA from Lycium barbarum (goji berry), 499 nucleotides. RefSeq lists it as uncharacterized. Lineage: Eukaryota; Viridiplantae; Streptophyta; Magnoliopsida; Solanales; Solanaceae. The transcript is spliced from 3 exons. The record is from RefSeq and is a predicted model, not a curated record.